UCUGUAGGUGGUUUAUGAAGUUCCCUGUCAAAUAUCAGGGCUCAACCUUGAGAAGGCAGUGAAGUACUCAUAGACUAGAGUGCGGUAGGGGUAGAGGGAACUCCGCGUGGAGCGGUGAAAUGCGUAGAGAUGCGGAGGAACACCAGUGGCGAAGGCGCUCUACUGGGCCGUCACUGACACUGAGAGACGAAAGCUAAGGGAGUGAAAA
RNAcentral lists this ribosomal RNA (208 nucleotides) under uncultured bacterium. RNAcentral's name for it is "partial 16S ribosomal RNA". It matches the Rfam family "Bacterial small subunit ribosomal RNA", at positions 568 to 774 of the family's 1533-position model. The record is from RNAcentral.